This 460-nucleotide ribosomal RNA is filed under the name uncultured bacterium. RNAcentral's name for it is "partial 16S ribosomal RNA". It matches the Rfam family "Bacterial small subunit ribosomal RNA", at positions 338 to 795 of the family's 1533-position model. The record is from RNAcentral.
CCUACGUGAGGCAGCAGUGAGGAAUAUUGGUCAAUGGGCGGAAGCCUGAACCAGCCAAGUCGCGUGAGGGAAUAAGGCCCUACGGGUCGUAAACCUCUUUUGCCGGGGAGCAAGGGCGGGGACGUGUCCCGGCCCGGAGAGUACCCGGAGAAAAAGCAUCGGCUAACUCCGUGCCAGCAGCCGCGGUAAGACGGGGGAUGCGGGUGUUAUCGGGAUUUAUUGGGUUUAAAGGGUGCGUAGGCGGGCUUUUAAGUCAGCGGUAAAAAGUCGGGGCUCAACCCCGUCCGGCCGUUGAAACUGGGUGCCUUGAGUGGGCGAGAGGUAGGCGGAAUGCGUGGUGUAGCGGUGAAAUGCAUAGAUAUUAGGCAGAACCCCGAUUGCGAAGGCAGCCUUCCGGCGCCCUACUGACGCUGAGGCACGAAAGUGUGGGGAUCGAACAGGAUUAGAUACCCGGGUAGUC